Molecule: ribosomal RNA, 794 nt
Filed under: uncultured Neocallimastigales
Lineage: Eukaryota; Fungi; Neocallimastigomycota; Neocallimastigomycetes; Neocallimastigales
Description: partial large subunit ribosomal RNA
Rfam family: Eukaryotic large subunit ribosomal RNA
Source: RNAcentral
UACGACUACAUAUCAGGCAUAUCAAUAAGCGGAGGAAAAGAAACUAACUAGGAUUCCCUUAGUAACGGCGAGUGAAGCGGGAAGAGCUCAAAUUUGAAAUCUUCAAGGUUCUACCUUGACGAAUUGUAGUUUAAUAGAAGUGUUUUCUGUUAGUGGAGUUGGCUAAAAGUUCUUUGGAAUAGGACAUCAUAGAGGGUGAGAAUCCCGUAUUUGGUACCAUUCUCUCCUAGCUGUUGUGAUACACUUUCAACGAGUCGGAUUGUUUGGGAAUGCAGUCCAAAAUGGGUGGUAAAUUUCAUCUAAAGCUAAAUAUUGGCGAGAGACCGAUAGCGAACAAGUACCGUGAGGGAAAGAUGAAAAGAACUUUGAAAAGAGAGUUAAACAGUACGUGAAAUUGUCAAAAGGGAAGCGUUUGACACCAGUGUUGUUUUUCUCGAAAAUCAAUUAACGAAUGUUCGGAUUUUUGUAGUAGUUAUGACUUCAUCAGCUUUCUGCACUUUCUUUACUGUACUUUCUUAAUGCACUUUUCGUUUAACAAGUCAACAUCAAUUUCUUUUGUUGUAAAAGGGUACGAUGGAAGGUGGCUUUCAUUUUCGGAGAAAGUGUUUAUAGCCUUGUGCCUCUGCAAUCGGAGAGAUUGAGGUCUGCAGCGUAGAUCCUUCGGGGUUAGAUACAUUUGUGCUAAGUUAUAGCUUUUUCAUAGACAACAUUGUUGACUAUGAUUUAAGUCAUUGUAGCUUACUCGCUUAUGCUAUUUUACCUACGCUUAGGAUGUUGAACGCGCACAGAGUCUC